AGAGUUUGAUCAUGGCUCAGGAUAAACGCUGGCGGCGUGCCUAAUCAAUGCGAGUCGUGCGGUCUUUCGGGACAGCGGCGUCCGGGUGAGUAACGCGUAGCUAACCUGCCCACGUGUGGGGGAUACCCGCCAGAAAUGGCGGCUAAUACCGCAUAGCUUGACUGGGGGCGACCCCGGGCAAGAAAGCCUUUGGGCGCACAUGGAGGGGGCUGCGUCCGAUUGGCUAGUCGGUGGGGUAACGGCCUACCGAGGCGACGAUCGGUAGCUGGUCUGAGAGGAUGAUCAGCCACACUGGGACUGAGACAUGGUCCAGAGCUCUACGGGGUUUAGCAUGAAGGGAUAUUGCGCAAUGGGCGAAAGCCUGACGCAGCAACGCCGCGUGUGGGACGACGCCUUUCGGGGUGUAAACCACUUUUCCCAGGGAAGAAGAAUGUGACGGUACCUGGGGAAGAAGCCUUGGCUAAGUACGUGCCAGCCGCCGCGGUAAUUC
This 490-nucleotide ribosomal RNA is filed under the name uncultured bacterium. RNAcentral's name for it is "bacterial SSU rRNA". It matches the Rfam family "Bacterial small subunit ribosomal RNA", at positions 8 to 526 of the family's 1533-position model. The record is from RNAcentral.